AGUGAACGCUGGCGGUAGGCCUAACACAUGCAAGUCGAACGGCAGCACAGUAAGAGCUUGCUCUUACGGGUGGCGAGUGGCGGACGGGUGAGGAAUACAUCGGAAUCUACUUUUUCGUGGGGGAUAACGUAGGGAAACUUACGCUAAUACCGCAUACGCCCUACGGGUGAAAGCAGGGGAUCUUCGGACCUUGCGCGAUUGAAUGAGCCGAUGUCGGAUUAGCUAGUUGGCGGGGUAAAGGCCCACCAAGGCGACGAUCCGUAGCUGGUGUGAGAGGAUGGUCAGCCACACUGGAACUUAGACACGGUCCAUACUCCUACGGGAGGCAGCAGUGGGGAAUAUUGGACAAUGGGCGCAAGCCUGAUCCAGCCAUACCGCGUGGGUGAAGAAGGCCUUCGGGUUGUAAAGCCCUUUUGUUGGGAAAGAAAAGCAGCAGGUUAAUACCCCGCUGUUCUGGCGGUACCCAAAGAAUAAGCACCGGCUAACUUCGUG
This 492-nucleotide ribosomal RNA is filed under the name uncultured bacterium. RNAcentral describes it as "partial 16S ribosomal RNA". It matches the Rfam family "Bacterial small subunit ribosomal RNA", at positions 29 to 507 of the family's 1533-position model. The record is from RNAcentral.